AGGACGAACGCUGGCGGCGUGCUUAACACAUGCAAGUCACGGGGGCUCGCAAGAGCAACCGGCGAACGGGUGCGUAACACGUGAGCAACCUGCCUUUGUGUGGGGGAUAGCCGGGCUAACGCCCGGGUAAUACCGCAUACGGUCACCUGGGGGAGUCCCUGGGUGAAGAAACCUCCGGGGCACAGAGAGGGGCUCGCGGCCUAUCAGCUAGUUGGCGGGUAAUGGCCCACCAAGGCGACGACGGGUAGCUGGUCUGAGAGGAUGGCCAGCCACAUUGGGACUGAGAGACGGCCCAGACUCCUACGGGAGCAGCAGUGGGGAAUCUGCGCAAUGGCCGAAAGGCUGACGCAGCGACGCCGCGUGUGGGAGGACGGCCUUUCGGGUGUAAACCGACUGUUCGCCCGGGACGAACAGCCUGUUUCGACAGGCCUGACGGUACCGGUGAGAAGCACGCUAACUCCGUGCCAGCAGCCGC
This 475-nucleotide ribosomal RNA is filed under the name uncultured soil bacterium. RNAcentral's name for it is "bacterial SSU rRNA". It matches the Rfam family "Bacterial small subunit ribosomal RNA", at positions 26 to 518 of the family's 1533-position model. The record is from RNAcentral.